RNAcentral lists this ribosomal RNA (207 nucleotides) under uncultured bacterium. RNAcentral describes it as "partial 16S ribosomal RNA". It matches the Rfam family "Bacterial small subunit ribosomal RNA", at positions 568 to 774 of the family's 1533-position model. The record is from RNAcentral.
CUCGUAGGCGGCCAACUAAGUCCGACGUGAAAUCCCCAGGCUUAACCUGGGAACUGCGUCGGAUACUGGAUGGCUUGAAUCCGGGAGAGGGAUGCGGAAUUCCAGGUGUAGCGGUGAAAUGCGUAGAUAUCUGGAGGAACACCGGUGGCGAAGGCGGCAUCCUGGACCGGCAUUGACGCUGAUGAGCGAAAGCCAGGGGAGCAAACG